CGCGUACUGUGCGAACGUUAUUCGGAAUCACUGGGCUUAAAGGGUGCGUAGGCGGCGAUUCAAGUCAGAUGUGAAAUGCCUGAGCUCAACUGAGGCAUUGCGUUUGAAACUGAAUUGCUAGAGUAUCCUAGGGGUGUGCGGAACUGCCAGUGGAACGGUGAAAUGUGUUGAUAUUGGCAGGAACACCGGAGGCGAAAGCGGCACACUGGGGGAUAACUGACGCUGAGGCACGAAAGCCAAGGGAGCGAACGGG
RNAcentral lists this ribosomal RNA (253 nucleotides) under uncultured bacterium. RNAcentral's name for it is "partial 16S ribosomal RNA". It matches the Rfam family "Bacterial small subunit ribosomal RNA", at positions 524 to 776 of the family's 1533-position model. The record is from RNAcentral.